Molecule: ribosomal RNA, 253 nt
Filed under: uncultured bacterium
Lineage: Bacteria
Description: partial 16S ribosomal RNA
Rfam family: Bacterial small subunit ribosomal RNA
Source: RNAcentral
UACGGGGGGGGCAAGCGUUGUUCGGAAUUACUGGGCGUAAAGGGCUCGUAGGCGGCCAACUAAGUCCGACGUGAAAUCCCUCGGCUUAACCGGGGAACUGCGUCCGAUACUGGAUGGCUUGAGUUCGGGAGAGGGAUGCGGAAUUCCAGGUGUAGCGGUGAAAUGCGUAGAUAUCUGGAGGAACACCGGUGGCGAAGGCGGCAUCCUGGACCGACACUGACGCUGAGGAGCGAAAGCCAGGGGAGCAAACGGG